RNAcentral lists this ribosomal RNA (455 nucleotides) under uncultured bacterium. Its description in RNAcentral is "bacterial SSU rRNA". It matches the Rfam family "Bacterial small subunit ribosomal RNA", at positions 791 to 1243 of the family's 1533-position model. The record is from RNAcentral.
UAGUCCACACCGUAAACGCUGUCUACUAGCUGUUUGUGAGUUUAACUCGUGAGUAGCGAAGCUAACGCGCUAAGUAGACCGCCUGGGGAGUACGGUCGCAAGAUUAAAACUCAAAUGAAUUGACGGGGGCCCGCACAAGCGGUGGAGCAUGUGGUUUAAUUCGAUGCAACGCGAAGAACCUUACCUACACUUGACAUUCAGAAAAGUUACCAGAGAUGGUUUCGUGCCUUCGGGAAUUCUGGGACAGGUGCUGCAUGGCUGUCGUCAGCUCGUGUCGUGAGAUGUUGGGUUAAGUCCCGCAACGAGCGCAACCCUUGUCCUUAUUUGCCAUCAUUAAGUUGGGCACUCUAAGGAGACUGCCGGUGACAAGCGGGAGGAAGGUGUGGAUGACGUCAAGUCCUCAUGGGCCCUUACGGGGUUGGGGCUACACACGUGCUACAAUGGGUAGUGACAGU